AUUGGCUAUGUCAUUGCAGGGGAACACUAUGAAGCCAGCAGGAAGAAGGAGGUGUGUAUGCAGACAGACAUAGAGGGUUACCCGCUACCUGCAAGGACGCAGUGCCUGCUGCUGUAAUCCUAAGUACGAUCUGACUUCUCAGCAAGGAUAAAUACGCAUAUGAACUAAGAAAGCAAAAGAGGCCCUCUACUCUUCUGGACUUCUAUGGGUGCUUUCUGUCUCUUUCCAUCAAUCACUCAACGCAUGCCAUGCCAGACUCAACGGGAUCUUCUCUGAGACAAUCGGACCCACUGCUCCCCUCGGCACAGUGCUAGGACUUAGGUUGUCCGAUGGCUCUGCAGCCGGUGCCGUGGUGGAGGAGCAGAAGCACUGUGAGUGGCAAAGGGUUGAAGGAUCGUUAGCCUGGAGCCUCACUUUGUCUGAACAGUGUGCGGUAAGUCUCGGGUCCCAGGGGAAAUAGGUAGUCACGUGACCCACCUACCGGUCUUGGCUGGGCGCUGGAGUGGUUGCUGUGUGUCCAGGGAGAACUGGGGCACACAUAUUUUAUAGGUCGCUGCCUGUGGCACUUCGGCAUCACCGCACCCCCCACUGCAGCCCACUCACGGCUUUCACUCACUGCGGCUGGCAUGAGUGAAAUAUCGAAGCAAUUAUAAAACUCAAGAUAUCGGGUGAGAGAAUUUUAGGAAUGACUGCAGCAAAUUGCUUCCAUUUUUCAGCUCACAGCAAGAAGAAAGGCAGAAACAGAGAGAGGUCAAAAAGAAAGCAAAUUAACAUGCCUACAUUGGCUGUACAGUCUACAUGUGUACAUGUAUAAAUAUAUUAAGCUUCUCUUUUGUGCCUUGGAGAGAAAAGAGCUGCAAUCAGCCAUUCAGGGACGAUCAAAUAGAUUAAAGCGAACAUUGUAGACGUCUCCAAGGAGCCUGCAAUAACAUCUUUAUUCUCGCUCAGCUACCUUCUACUCCACACUGUGUGAGGGAAUAUAUUUUAUUAAAAACAUUUCUUUUACCUGGAGGUCCUGUCAACUAGCUAACAUAAAAGAAAG
Molecule: long non-coding RNA, 1042 nt
Filed under: Mus spicilegus (steppe mouse)
Lineage: Eukaryota; Metazoa; Chordata; Mammalia; Rodentia; Muridae
Description: lncRNA (ENSMSIG00000010262.1)
Source: RNAcentral